Molecule: ribosomal RNA, 1480 nt
Filed under: uncultured Bordetella sp.
Lineage: Bacteria; Pseudomonadati; Pseudomonadota; Betaproteobacteria; Burkholderiales; Alcaligenaceae
Description: partial 16S-23S ribosomal RNA intergenic spacer
Rfam family: Bacterial small subunit ribosomal RNA
Source: RNAcentral
AUAGAGAGUUUGAUUAUGGCUCAGAUUGAACGCUGGCGGGAUGCUUUACACAUGCAAGUCGAACGGCAGCAUGGACUUCGGUCUGGUGGCGAGUGGCGAACGGGUGAGUAAUGUAUCGGAACGUGCCUAGUAGCGGGGGAUAACUACGCGAAAAAGCGUAGCCAAUACCGCAUACGCCCUUCGGGGAAAGCGGGGGACCUUCGGGCCUCGCACUAUUAGGAGCGGCCGAUAUCGGAUUAGCUAGUUGGUGGGGUAACGGCUCACCAAGGCGACGAUCCGUAGCUGGUUUGAGAGGACGACCGCCACACUGGGACUGGAGACACGGCCCAGACUCCUACGGGAGGCAGCAGGGAAUUUUGGACAAUGGGGAAACCUCGAUCCAGCCAUCCCGCGUGUGCGAUGAAGGCCUUCGGGUUGUAAAGCACUUUGGCAGGAAAGAAACGGCACGAUGGUCACCCCCGUGCAACUGACGGUACCUGCAGAAUAAGCACCGGCUAACUACGCGCCAGCAGCCGCGGUAAUACGUAGGUGCAAGCGUUAAUCGGAAUUACUGGGCGUAAAGCGUGCGCAGGCGGUCUGAAAGAAAGAUGUGAAAUCCCAGAGCUUAACUUUGGAACUGCAUUUUUAACUACCGAGCUAGAGUGUGUCAGAGGGAGGUGGAAUUCCGCGUGUAGCAGUGAAAUGCGUAGAUAUGCGGAGGAACACCGAUGGCGAAGGCAGCCUCCUGGGAUAACACUGACGCUCAUGCACGAAAGCGUGGGGAGCAAACAGGAUUAGAUACCCUGGUAGUCCACGCCCUAAACGAUGUCAACUAGCUGUUGGGGCCUUCGGGCUCCUGCAGCGCAGCUAACGCGUGAAGUUGACCGCCUGGGGAGUACGGUCGCAAGAUUAAAACUCAAAGGAAUUGACGGGGACCCGCACAAGCGGUGGAUGAUGUGAUUAAUUCGAUGCAACGCGAAAACCUUACCUACCCUUGACAUGUCUGGAAUCCCGAAGAGAUUUGGGAGUGCUCGCAAGAGAACCGGAACACAGGUGCUGCAUGGCUGUCGUCAGCCUGUGUCGAGAUGUUGCUUAAGUCCCGCAACGAGCGCAACCCUUGUCAUUAGUUGCUACGAAAGGGCACUCAAUGAGACUGCCGGUGACAAACCGGAGGAAGGUGGGGAUGACGUCAAGUCCUCAUGGCCCUUAUGGGUAGGGCUUCACACGUCAUACAAUGGUCGGGACAGAGGGUCGCCAACCCGCGAGGGGAGCCAAUCCCAGAAACCCGAUCGUAGUCCGGAUCGCAGUCUGCAACUCGACUGCGUGAAGUCGGAAUCGCUAGUAAUCGCGGAUCAGCAUGUCGCGGUGAAUACGUUCCGGGUCUUGUACACACCGCCCGUCACACCAUGGGAGUGGGUUUUACCAGAAGUAGUUAGCCUAACCGUAAGGAGGGCGAUUACCACGGUAGGAUUCAUGACUGGGUGAAGUCGUAACAAGGUAA